ACUCAUCCAGCCGGGGGAGGGGGUGCCAGGGCCGCCCCUCGGUGUCCCCCCUCCCCGCCCCCAUCAGACCACGCCGGCCUCCCGCAGGGGCUCCCCGUCCUCCAGCCGGGCCCAGCCCAGGCGCCGCAGGUCCAGGCUCUCGAAGCGGCCCCGGAUCACCAGCUCGGCCACGGCCCUGCCGGCGGCGGGCGAGUGCUGGAGGCCGUGCCCGCUGAAGCCCGCGGCCAGGAACAUGUUCUCCAGCCGGGGAAAACCAAAAGUUACACCCUUUCCUGAAACCCGACUCCUACAGAUACCCUUGGAGGAAGAUAUAUAGCCAGGAGGAUGGAGCUUGGUUCCUGCCCAAGGAGAAGCACCUUCCUCAAAGAUAGCUGGAUGGUUUUUUUUAACUCCUGCGUUCCAGAGGAAGCUUCCAGGCUCUCUCCCUCUGGUUUGAGCAGAGAUAAACCCUCACAGAUGUUCACCAUCAGGCAGCGAUGAUAAAAGCCAAGGAAAACCAGAGGGGCAUGUCUUUCUCAGGCACUGUUAGGAAUUUUCCCUUGUAAGCCCAGGGAAUAAACGUUCCCGGAAUCCUU
Long non-coding RNA from Pipra filicauda (Wire-tailed manakin), 575 nucleotides. RefSeq lists it as uncharacterized. The transcript has 2 exons. The record is from RefSeq and is a predicted model, not a curated record. NCBI's taxonomy places the organism in Eukaryota, Metazoa, Chordata, Aves, Passeriformes, Pipridae.